RNAcentral lists this long non-coding RNA (208 nucleotides) under Mytilus galloprovincialis (Mediterranean mussel). Lineage: Eukaryota; Metazoa; Mollusca; Bivalvia; Mytilida; Mytilidae. The record is from RNAcentral.
UAUUUAUUGGAAAGAAGACUGCUUCUGCUACAUAAAUAUGGGCUUUUUUUGACAAUACAAUGCAUAUAUAUCGGGUACUAGCAUCAUUAAGUCAUGCUAAAUUACUGAAAUCUUCUCAAUUUUAGGAUUUUAGUUAAAUUUUAGACGGUUUCCGUCUUAAAUGAAAGUGGCCGCAUUUGUGUUCAUUCUUAAUAUUGAAAUGUAAGUU